This 481-nucleotide ribosomal RNA is filed under the name uncultured bacterium. Its description in RNAcentral is "bacterial SSU rRNA". It matches the Rfam family "Archaeal small subunit ribosomal RNA", at positions 724 to 1203 of the family's 1478-position model. The record is from RNAcentral.
AGUGAAUAGAUACCCCGGUAGUCCCAGCUGUAAACGAUGCGCGUUAGGUGUAUCGGUGACCACGAGUCACCGAGGUGCCGAAAGGGAAACCGUGAAACGUGCCGCCUGGGAAGUACGGUCGCAAGGCUGAAACUUAAAGGAAUUGGCGGGGGAGCACCACAACAGGUGGAGCCUGCGGUUUAAAUCGGACUCAACGCCGGGAAGCUCACCGGAUAAGACAGCUGAAUGAUAGCCGGGUUGAAGACUCUGCUUGACUAGCUGAGAGGAGGUGCAUGGCCGUCGUCAGUUCGACUGUGAAGCAAUCCUGUUAAGUCAAGGCAACGAGCGAGACCCAGCCAACAGUUGCCAGCAUGUCCUCGGGAUGGUGGGACACGUGUUGGGACCGCCUCUGCUAAAGAGGAGGAAGGAAUGGGCAACGGUAGGUCAGCAUGCCCCGAAUUAUCCGGGCUACACGCGGGCUACAAUGGUCAGGACAAUGGGU